UGGGGAAUAUUGCACAAUGGGCGAAAGCCUGAUGCAGCGACGCCGCGUGCGGGAUGAAGGCCUUCGGGUUGUAAACCGCUUUUAAUUGGGAGCAAGCGAGAGUGAGUGUACCUUUUGAAUAAGCACCGGCUAACUACGUGCCAGCAGCCGCGGUAAUACGUAGGGUGCAAGCGUUAGCCGGAAUUAUUGGGCGUAAAGAGCUCGUAGGCGGUUUGUCACGCCUGGUGUGAAAGUCCAUCGCUUAACGGUGGAUCUGCGCCGGGUACGGGCAGGCUAGAGUGCAGUAGGGGAGAUUGGAAUUCCCGGUGUAACGGUGGAAUGUGUAGAUAUCGGGAAGAACACCAAUGGCGAAGGCAGAUCUCUGGGCUGUUACUGACGCUGAGGAGCGAAAGCAUGGGGAGCGAACAGGA
RNAcentral lists this ribosomal RNA (410 nucleotides) under uncultured bacterium. RNAcentral's name for it is "bacterial SSU rRNA". It matches the Rfam family "Bacterial small subunit ribosomal RNA", at positions 355 to 777 of the family's 1533-position model. The record is from RNAcentral.